GGAUGACUGGCAGAGUGGCUUAUCGCAUCAUCUUGCUAAGGUGACGGCCUGUUGUGGCCCGGGAGUUCGAAUCUCUCAUCAUCCG
Molecule: transfer RNA, 85 nt
Filed under: Bifidobacterium dentium
Lineage: Bacteria; Bacillati; Actinomycetota; Actinomycetes; Bifidobacteriales; Bifidobacteriaceae
Description: tRNA-Ser
Rfam family: tRNA
About the family: Transfer RNA (tRNA) molecules are approximately 80 nucleotides in length. Their secondary structure includes four short double-helical elements and three loops (D, anti-codon, and T loops).
Source: RNAcentral